CAGAGGGUGCGAAGCGUUAAUCGGAAUUACUGGGCGUAAAGCGUGCGCAGGCGGUUUGUUAAGAUAGGCGUGAAAUCCCCGGGCUCAACCUGGGAACUGCGCUUAUGACUGGCAAGCUAGAGUACGGCAGAGGGGGUGGAAUUCCACGUGUAGCAGUGAAAUGCGUAGAGAUGUGGAGGAACACCAAUGGCGAAGGCAGCCCCCUGGGUCGAUACUGACGCUCAUGCACGAAAGCGUGGGUAGCAAACAGGAUUAGAUACCCUGGUAGUCCACGCCCUAAACGAUGUCAACUAGGUGUUGGGAGGGUAAAACCUUUUAGUACCGGAGCUAACGCGUGAAGUUGACCGCCUGGGGAGUACGGCCGCAAGGUUA
RNAcentral lists this ribosomal RNA (372 nucleotides) under uncultured organism. RNAcentral describes it as "bacterial SSU rRNA". It matches the Rfam family "Bacterial small subunit ribosomal RNA", at positions 526 to 896 of the family's 1533-position model. The record is from RNAcentral.